GGCUUGUGGCUUAGUGGUAGAGCACUUACCUUGCAUGUGUGAGACACUGGGUUCAAUCCUCAGCACUA
Molecule: transfer RNA, 68 nt
Filed under: Marmota monax (woodchuck)
Lineage: Eukaryota; Metazoa; Chordata; Mammalia; Rodentia; Sciuridae
Description: tRNA.Ala
Rfam family: tRNA (bases 5-65)
About the family: Transfer RNA (tRNA) molecules are approximately 80 nucleotides in length. Their secondary structure includes four short double-helical elements and three loops (D, anti-codon, and T loops). Further hydrogen bonds mediate the characteristic L-shaped molecular structure. tRNAs have two regions of fundamental functional importance: the anti-codon, which is responsible for specific mRNA codon recognition, and the 3' end, to which the tRNAs corresponding amino acid is attached (by aminoacyl-tRNA synthetases). tRNAs cope with the degeneracy of the genetic code in two manners: having more than one tRNA (with a specific anti-codon) for a particular amino acid; and 'wobble' base-pairing, i.e. permitting non-standard base-pairing at the 3rd anti-codon position.
Source: RNAcentral